GACUACUCCGUAUCUACCAUUCUCUCUCUACUGUUACACUUCCCUAAAAUUGGUUUUCCAGGGCUUCUUGUUUUCAGAAUGGUGGAAACACAAUCAAGUCAACCUAGUGAACCUUUAAGGUACGAGUUUAGACAAAGAUCGAGCAAAACAAUGGCAGAAGAGGACAGCCCAAUUGAGGAAACAUCCUCAAAGAGUAGAGUUGCGAAGAAAAGCCCUCCUCCAAAAACUCCUCCACAGAAGAGAGGUGCACAAAAAGGGCCUACAAAGAAGAGACUUAUACAAACCACCAAAAGCCCUCAAAAGAAAAAACGUGCAAAAGCUCCAACAAAAUACUUCCAAUAUCGAUCAAACCAUCGACCCUUCUUCGAGUUGAUUGAUAAGAAGACAUUCUUAACUGGACAAAUUGAAGCAUUGAAGAAGACACCAUUUUGGUUGCUCUU
Molecule: long non-coding RNA, 440 nt
Organism: Rhododendron vialii
Lineage: Eukaryota; Viridiplantae; Streptophyta; Magnoliopsida; Ericales; Ericaceae
Exons: 2
Source: RefSeq, a predicted model, not a curated record